This 95-nucleotide ribosomal RNA is filed under the name Photobacterium lutimaris. Its description in RNAcentral is "partial 16S ribosomal RNA". It matches the Rfam family "Bacterial small subunit ribosomal RNA", at positions 1 to 95 of the family's 1533-position model. Lineage: Bacteria; Pseudomonadati; Pseudomonadota; Gammaproteobacteria; Vibrionales; Vibrionaceae. The record is from RNAcentral.
UUUAAUUGAAGAGUUUGAUCAUGGCUCAGAUUGAACGCUGGCGGCAGGCCUAACACAUGCAAGUCGAGCGGCAGCGACAACAUUGACCCUUCGGG